This 424-nucleotide ribosomal RNA is filed under the name uncultured bacterium. RNAcentral describes it as "partial 16S ribosomal RNA". It matches the Rfam family "Bacterial small subunit ribosomal RNA", at positions 360 to 776 of the family's 1533-position model. The record is from RNAcentral.
AAUUUGGGACAAUGGGCGAAAGCCUAAUGGAGCACCGCCGCGAGAGUGAAGAAGGAUUUCGGAUCGUAAAACUCUGUUGUAAGGGAAGAACAAGUACAGUAGUAACUGGCUGUACCUUGACGGUAUCUUAUUAGAAAGCCACGGCUAACUACGUGCCAGCAGCCGCGGUAAUACGUAGGUGGCAAGCGUUGUCCGGAAUUAUUGGGCGUAAAGCGCGCGCAGGCGGUCCUUUAAGUCUGAUGUGAAAGCCCACGGCUCAACCGUGGAGGGUCAUUGGAAACUGGGGGACUUGAGUGCAGAAGAGGAAAGUGGAAUUCCAAGUGUAGCGGUGAAAUGCGUAGAGAUUUGGAGGAACACCAGUGACGAAGGCGACUUUCUGGUCUGUAACUGACGCUGAGGCGCGAAAGCGUGGGGAGCAAACAGG